This 24-nucleotide non-coding RNA is filed under the name Arabidopsis thaliana (thale cress). The record is from RNAcentral. Lineage: Eukaryota; Viridiplantae; Streptophyta; Magnoliopsida; Brassicales; Brassicaceae.
AUAAGAUUCAACUCAGCAAGCCCA